This is a ribosomal RNA of Lupinus angustifolius (narrow-leaved blue lupine), 172 nucleotides long. It matches the Rfam family "Bacterial small subunit ribosomal RNA", at positions 923 to 1375 of the family's 1533-position model. The record is from Rfam. Lineage: Eukaryota; Viridiplantae; Streptophyta; Magnoliopsida; Fabales; Fabaceae.
GCGCAGCCAUAUAAGAUAUUGUCAAAUGGCCGGGACAAAGGAUCGCGAUCCCGCGAGGGUGAGCUAACUCCAAAAAUCUGUCCUCAAUUUGGAUUAUAGUGUGCAACUCGCCUGCGUGAAGCCGGAAUCGCUAGUAAUUGCUGGUCAGCCAUACGGCACUGAAUUUGCUCCC